RNAcentral lists this ribosomal RNA (574 nucleotides) under Bacillus sp. CH422a_13T. Its description in RNAcentral is "bacterial SSU rRNA". It matches the Rfam family "Bacterial small subunit ribosomal RNA", at positions 57 to 614 of the family's 1533-position model. The record is from RNAcentral. Lineage: Bacteria; Bacillati; Bacillota; Bacilli; Caryophanales; Bacillaceae.
GCAGUCGAGCGGAUUGAUGGGAGCUUGCUCCCUGAAAUCAGCGGCGGACGGGUGAGUAACACGUGGGUAACCUGCCUGUAAGACUGGGAUAACUCCGGGAAACCGGGGCUAAUACCGGAUAGUUCUUUUCCUCGCAUGAGGAAAAGUGGAAAGGCGGCUUCGGCUGCCACUUACAGAUGGACCCGCGGCGCAUUAGCUAGUUGGUGAGGUAACGGCUCACCAAGGCAACGAUGCGUAGCCGACCUGAGAGGGUGAUCGGCCACACUGGGACUGAGACACGGCCCAGACUCCUACGGGAGGCAGCAGUAGGGAAUCUUCCGCAAUGGACGAAAGUCUGACGGAGCAACGCCGCGUGAGUGAUGAAGGUUUUCGGAUCGUAAAGCUCUGUUGUUAGGGAAGAACAAGUGCCGUUCGAAUAGGGCGGCACCUUGACGGUACCUAACCAGAAAGCCACGGCUAACUACGUGCCAGCAGCCGCGGUAAUACGUAGGUGGCAAGCGUUGUCCGGAAUUAUUGNGCGUAAAGCGCGCGCAGGCGGUCUCUUAAGUCUGAUGUGAAAGCCCACGGCUCAACC